Molecule: ribosomal RNA, 253 nt
Filed under: uncultured bacterium
Lineage: Bacteria
Description: partial 16S ribosomal RNA
Rfam family: Bacterial small subunit ribosomal RNA
Source: RNAcentral
UACGUAGGGGGCUAGCGUUGUCCGGAAUCAUUGGGCGUAAAGAGCGUGUAGGCGGCCCGGUAAGUCCGCUGUAAAAGUCAAAGGCUCAACCUUUGAAUGUCAGUGGAUACUGCCGGGCUAGAGUCCGGAAGAGGCGAGUGGAAUUCCUGGUGUAGCGGUGAAAUGCGCAGAUAUCAGGAGGAACACCGAUUGCGAAGGCAGCUCGCUGGGACGUAACUGACGCUGAGACGCGAAAGCGUGGGGAGCAAACAGG